CCUACGGGGUGCAGCAGUCGAGAAUCAUUCACAAUGGGGGAAACCCUGAUGGUGCGACGCCGCGUGGGGGAAUGAAGGUCUUCGGAUUGUAAACCCCUGUCAUGUGGGAGCAAAUUAAAAAGAUAGUACCACAAGAGGAAGAGACGGCUAACUCUGUGCCAGCAGCCGCGGUAAUACAGAGGUCUCAAGCGUUGUUCGGAAUCACUGGGCGUAAAGCGUGCGUAGGCUGUUUCGUAAGUCGUGUGUGAAAGGCGCGGGCUCAACCCGCGGACGGCACAUGAUACUGCGGGACUAGAGUAAGGGAGGGGGAACCGGAAUUCUCGGUGUAGCAGUGAAAUGCGUAGAUAUCGAGAGGAACACUCGUGGCGAAGGCGGGUUCCUGGACAUUAACUGACGCUGAGGCACGAAGGCCAGGGGAGCGAAAGGGAUUAGAUACCCUUGUAGUC
This 446-nucleotide ribosomal RNA is filed under the name uncultured bacterium. RNAcentral's name for it is "partial 16S ribosomal RNA". It matches the Rfam family "Bacterial small subunit ribosomal RNA", at positions 338 to 795 of the family's 1533-position model. The record is from RNAcentral.